GCAUUGGUGGUUCAACGGUAGAAGUCUCAUCUUCAUUCACAAGACCUGGGUUCAAUUCCCAGCCAGUGUA
RNAcentral lists this transfer RNA (70 nucleotides) under Loxodonta africana (African savanna elephant). It matches the Rfam family "tRNA". From Rfam's summary of the family: Transfer RNA (tRNA) molecules are approximately 80 nucleotides in length. Their secondary structure includes four short double-helical elements and three loops (D, anti-codon, and T loops). The record is from Rfam by way of RNAcentral. Lineage: Eukaryota; Metazoa; Chordata; Mammalia; Proboscidea; Elephantidae.